UGGGGAAUAUUGGACAAUGGGGGAAACCCUGAUCCAGCGAUGCCGCGUGAGUGAUGAAGGCCUUCGGGUUGUAAAACUCUUUCACUGAUGAAGAUGAUGACGGUAGUCAGAGAAGAAGCUCCGGCUAACUUCGUGCCAGCAGCCGCGGUAAUACGAAGGGAGCUAGCGUUGUUCGGAAUUACUGGGCGUAAAGAGUACGUAGGCUGUUAUGUAAGUUAGGUGUGAAAUUCUUGGUCUUAAGCUAAGGACUGCACUUAAUACUGCAUGACUUGAGUAUGGGAGAGGACAGAGGAAUUCCUAGUGUAGAGGUGAAAUUCGUAGAUAUUAGGAGGAACAUCGAUGGCGAAGGCAUCUGUCUGGAACAUAACUGACGCUUAGGUACGAAAGUGUGGGGAGCAAA
Molecule: ribosomal RNA, 400 nt
Filed under: uncultured bacterium
Lineage: Bacteria
Description: bacterial SSU rRNA
Rfam family: Bacterial small subunit ribosomal RNA
Source: RNAcentral